GUUAUUACUUUGAAAGACUCAAGCUAUAAAGAUCUACUCAAUAUGGACAAGUUGUUCUUCAUCCGAUGCUAUGGAAUUCGGCUUUGGUCGUCGUGGAUCUUUAAUGUCGCUUGCGUACGGUUUUUUCGCUUUUGCUUCUUCGUAGUUUCAUAAAAAGAGUAGUAUAUUGUCAAUGUUGUUCAGCAGUAGCUUCUACUGUGACAUCCACCUGAAAAGCUAGAAUUGUCAAUGUUAAUCACAAAGAUACAAAAAAAUAGAAAAGGAUAACUCAUCUGUUUUAGCAAACAGAUUCUCUUUCUACUGCAACAUAUUGAUCAUCUAUUGGGAUAAAUUAAAACAUGAGAAAGAGUUGUAUUAUAAUUUUUAAUGGAUAAACCAUCUGUUGUAACAUAUGACUCAUUUGUUUGGAAAAACUGAAACAAUAAGAAGUCUUGAUUUAAUUUGUCCUAACAGAUGACCCAUCUGUUGCAGCAUAUAGGUCAUCUGUUCGUAUAAAUAAAAAUGGUACGUAGAGCUGUUUGAUUCGCUAAAAUAGACAUGACAUAUAUUAUAAUAGAUACUGCAUCUGAUGCAACAGGUUAGUCAGCAGUUGCAAUAGAUGUAUAUAUCUAUUUGAUAAUUUUCAGUAGAUGUGUCAACUGUUGAAAUAGAUAUAUGUCUAUUUGUUAAUUGGAACAAAUGUUAUAUAUUCACAUUCUUCAGCUCAUGUUGCUCUUCUGUGGGCCUUGUACAUUGCUCAAUUGUGCAACACAAAGACAUCAGAGUUAUAAUUUCGCUUUUUGGGAUGGUUGAUAAUGCCUUGGAAAUUACUUUCCUUCUUCUCUUAGCCUUAAUCUUAAUGGAGUGGAUAAAUAUGAAAUCCUCUUUGAUAGAAUAACACCCCUAUUAGAUGCCAAUUCCUUUAUAGAAGUAGUUAAUACAUUAAUAACAUUAAUCAGUAUAUCAUGUUUCGCCUUGCAGUCUUGACAUUUACAUGCAGAACAUUCGCUGGGAGGGGCAAAAUCUGCAUAACCAAUAUGAUCAUACUUUAAUGGUUUAUUUUAAAAACUGUAAGAGGAGCAUCAUUAGCCCCAAUAACAACACCACUACAACCACCAACAGUUCCACUACCACUACCAUUAUCAACAACUACAAGCCCACCCUUCAAAAUUAUUUUUCUUAGGAUGGUUAUUGCUUCAAACAAUUCCAUUUUUAUUCUGUCAAUGACUUUAAAGUCUGAUAAAGGUUGCACAGAUCAUAAAGUAAAGAAAAAUAGCAUCUUCAACUCUCUAUUAGUCGAAACAAGUGAAGAAUGCACAAUCUAACAUAAAUCAGUACAUAUAUUAGAAUGAUGAUUAGAUCAUUCAAAAAAAUCAUUAACUAAAACAAAAACUUAAUUAGAAUUAGACUUACUGCAUCCUCCAGGGGGUUGAAGAGAUAGAUUUUUUUUGCAUUUUUAUCAAUUUUGGCUGACAACCAUCUCAGGAUUCAUGGACAGGAAACUUCUUCUUGAUAGUUCACUUGUUGUCUCAAUAAGGAGUGACUUCAAACGCACAAUCCUAUAAAAUAAUGCCAAUAAAUCAAAAGCAUUAUUAAAUAAAAAAAUAAAUCAUAUUAUAAAAAAAGAAAUAUUUACCAUGAAUGCUCAUGGAAAGUCAUAUAAGUUGACUAUCUUUGGAGUUAAUGGAGACAACAAAUAUUUGACAAUCAUUUUAAAGCUUUCAUAACCCCAAGGAUAGCUGUUAAAUGACUCAAGAUCCACGGAGAGCUUUAUUAAAUCAAGUGGUAUGUUGUUGUUAAUGUCUUUCGCGCAAAGAAUAUUAUGUACAAACCAAACAAAGCACAAUGAUUGCUUGUACUUCUUUGAAAGUCUUUUACCUUUCAACGCUUCUAUCAAAUUUUUAUUUUUGAAGCUUGGACCAAUAAGGGAUACCAAGUCUUCACGAUCACUCGACUUGCAUUUGCCUUUUAUGGGUGUGUGGGGUGUUUUUUUGGGGUUAGAAUGGGUAUAACUUGAGAAGAAGAAAGAGGAUAACAUUUUAGUCCAGUAACUAUGGAAAACUCCUUCCAAAUAAAACAAAUAUGCAUGCCACAGUAAUUUAUCCACACCUCAUCCAUCUUAUCUUUGUUUUCAUACAUAAACCUACGCUUAAGAAGAUCAUAUACCAUUUUUAUCCGGAAACGAGCAUUGUUAUCCUCUGGCAAAUUAAGAUAUUGCCUAAAGCAGCUGUCCCUGAAAUAAGUAUCCAAAUUUUAUUCUCAAAGUAUUUUUCUGAAGACGUCGAAAGAUUUUUCCAUGACUGACUUAACCACGAAAUCACCCAUUAAAUCUGUGGCACCAUCGCAUUGCAUUCUCACAAGAUAACUAUCAAUGCUGAAGGUUUUGACCAACUCUUUGGUGGAAGAAAUAUUAGAGUUUGGAUCAUCUCUUUUGAAACAUUCCUCCUCCCCAUAUUCAUCAUCUUCUGCUCCUAAUUGAGAUAACACUUGUAAAGCAAGUUCAUAGAUUCAUGGAUGUAGCCUAGCUGCUUCACUUGUUUUUUUACUUGGACUUGAUUCAUUUUUUUUCCUUUGGGAGUCAUAUUAUCUAAAACUAACAGGAACAUAAAAUAGAUUAUAAUGGAUUAAUGCAUCGUUAAAAGGAUAACGGUAAAUCUAAUAUGCACAACAGUAAAAUAAUAGUUCCAAAAGAUAACACAUCUAGUGCACCAGGUAGGUUAUCUGCUGCUACAUAUAACUAACCUGUUGCAACGAAUGAGUAAUCUAUUGCAAAAAUAAAAGUAGAUCACUUAUCUGUUGAAAUAAAUGAAUGGUUUGUGCAAUAGAUCACAUAUUUUUUGCAAUAUACGAGUGAUCUGUUGCAACAUAUAACUAACCUGUUGCAAUAGAUGAGUAAUCUAUUAAACAAAAAUAGAUCACACAUCUAUUGAAACAGAUGUCUGAUCUGUGAAACAUAUCAUAAAUUUAUUGCAAUAUAUGAGUGAUUUGUUCGAAUAGUUAUUAAUAGUCAAUAUUGAUUAGAUUUUUUCCAACAUAAGGGUCAUCUAUAGCGAAAGAUGAAUGAUCAGUUUGAAAAAUCAAGUCUUAGAGAUGUGCUAUUGGAAUAGUUGAUAGAAUUUUAUCCAACAGAAGGUUCAUUUAUUGCAUUUAAUGGUUAAUCUGUUGCAUUAGAUUUUUAUUUUGAUGGUUCCUCUGUUGCAUCAAAUGGUAAAUCUAUUGCAUCAGAUGGCUAAUCUGUUGCAUCGAAUUUUUAAUUGGAUGGUUCCUCUGUUGUAUCCGAUGUUAAGUUCGUUGCAUCAGAUUUUUAAUUUGAUAUUAAAUUUGUUGCAUCAGAUAGUUAAUCUGUUGCAUCAGAUUUUUUAUCUGAUGAUUAAUCUGUUGCGUUAGGUUUUUUAUCCGAUGGUUCCUCUAUUGCAUCUACGGUAAAUCUGUUGCAUCAGAUGGUUAAUCUGUUGUAUCAGAUGAUGAAUCUAUUGUAAAAAAAAAAUAGUAGCAUGAUUUUGUUCAAUAGAACAACAACAAUAUCACCCUUUUUACCAAGAACAAGAAUAAAUCAACCCAUCAACGGGCGCAACACCAAAAAUACCAACAUCAUUGUUUUGUUUGUACAAAUACAAACAACAAAAAUCAAACUUUAAAAAAUACAAAAAAUCAUAUUUCACUCCGAAAAGAAAAGAAAUACCAUAAAUUAGGGUUUUAUUCAGACCGCAUUUCAAAUUAAAGCAUCAAAUGUUGAAAUUGUUCACCAAUACUAGAAGAGAAGUUGACUCAAGAUCCUCUUUUUCUUCAAAACUAGAAAGACCAUAAUUUUUUACUUGUGAAAGAAGAAAAGGGACGAUGAAGAACUUGAAGCUAUUUUGGUCGGAGAGCAAGGCUGUCACGUCGAUUGAUGAUUGAAAGUAGAAAAGGAACUCGAAGUCCAACUAUUUAUCGCUGGAGGUUGGAGUCACCGGGGAUUGAAAGGAGAAAUUUGCAGAACUAUUAGUUGGGAGAAACUGUAAAGACAGAGAGAGGAGAGGGGUGUGGGUUGAUUUGUAUUUUUGAAAAGAUUAGAAAGUUUUGAAAAUAUUAAUCAAGUCCACAAUUAACUUAAUAAAAUUUUCUAAUUAUGUUUGACCCUUUAAGUCGGUCAAUAUUACUAAUCCUUCAUUCAAGAAUUAAAUGACACAUUUUCUUCAAUUUUCUCAUAAAACUAGGAAUAUAAGAAUCGAAAGUGGAUAAAAUAAAUAUUACGAUAAAAUAUAAAAUGUAUACGCAUAGUUAAAAUCUAGUAUGAAUAAUAAGUAAAUGAAUAACUGUAAUAACGAUAAAAUAUACGUUAAGUAUAAUAAUUUGUAUAUAUACCUCGUGAUUUUCACAAUCCUUUAAAAUCUGGAGAAAACUCAAAGAAAAUGUCGAAAAAAAUAAAAGGUAAUAUAGAACAUUGAGAUUAUUUAAUUCAUUGCAAUAAAUUGAGGUUGGUGACCUUUAAAAAUCUGAAUUUUUAGCUACUUACUCUCCUAUCGAGUUUAUAUUCAUUUUUUAUAGCAAAACAUUGAGGUUGCGAUGUUCAUUUUAGAGAAAGUAUCUUUAAUAAAUAUAAGCUUUAACAAAAUGCUAGAUGCCCACCUAAAGACUUUUACCAUGUAUUUUUUUUACAGUCGAAAAGGUUAAAAACAUACCCUCAAGCUCAAAAAAAGGACUGCAUUCUUGAUAAUGGUAUAUGUUAGAUAUGUUAGUUAUGUUAGAUAUGUUAGUUAGAUAUGUUUGAAUUUAUAUAUGUUUAAAGAAUUAAUUAUAAGAAGACCAUUUAAAAAUAGAGAAGCUUUUAGAAAAAUUAAAGAAUCUUUAAUUAGUAAUUAUUCAGAAUAUAUAAGUCUAAAUAAAACAAAAGAAAACACACAAAGAUUAGCCUACCUAAUUACCUUAAUAUCUAGUAUUGAAGCAAAAUUAAUAAUCCAUUUAAAAUCUAGAAGAAUGAGACACAUACCACCUAAUUAUGAUAAAAUUAGAUUUAGAUAUCCACCAAGAUAUUAUAAAUAUAAUUUAAAAUGAAUAAAAUACAACAAUAUAAAGAAUUAAGACAAAUUAUCUCUGAAAAACGUAAAGAAUUAAAAAUAAGAAUAGAAAGACUACAUUAUAAUAUAUUUGCCGGAGUUAGUAAAAAUUCAAUAGAUACACAAAAAGAUGAAAUAUCAAAAUUAGAAUCACAAAUAGAUAGUUUAGAAUAUGUAUAUCAACAUGACCUAUUCACAAUAAAAUGAAUAAAGAAGAAUUUAUAAUAGAUGAAAAAAUAUAUGAAAACUACGAAGGAUCAAAAAUAAAAAUAGUAUUUUCUAAUCUAGGACGAAGAUAUAAGAAAAUAGGUGAACAUUUAUAUCUAAUGUUAGAAAAAGAAGAAUUAAAAUUAGAAGAUAAAUUAACAGCAAUGGUAAGAAUAGAAAAAGAAAAUGAAGAGAUAGAUAGGAAAAAAGAAAUAGAAAAAAUAAAACAACAAACUACGGAAGAAAUACGAAAAAUAGAAGAAACCAAAAAUAGUAGAAUUGCUGAAUUAGAAAAAGAAUUACAAAUGUUAAAAGAACUGUAUGAACAAAGACAAAAAGAAAAAGAAGAAAAAGAUAGAGAACAGAAAUUACUAAAUGAGAUAAAUCAAUUUAAGGAAAAAUUAGAAAUAAAAAAUGAAGAAUUAGAAAUAAAUAAUAUAGAUAUUGAAGAGACAGAUAAUUAUGAGUCCGAAGAUAGUGAAACAUACACAGAAAUAUUAACAAAUACAAAAAAUUUAGAAAUCAAUGAAGAACAAAAAAUUUAUGAGGAAAACUUAGAAAAUACCCACACAGAAAUAAAUACUCUUGAUAAAAAAGAAAAUGAAAAUAUAAUACCUAAAACAACAGAAAUAAGAAAACCUAUAUAUUAUAAGAAUAAGUUUAAAAAAUAUAAUGAAUAUGAUAAAUGGAUACCAAAACAAAUAGUGAAUAAAAAUUAUAACUUUUUAGAUCUAGACUGUGUAAUAGAUACAGAAAAAACAAUACAAUUAUGGAUAGGAUAUAUGACAAAACAAUUAUUAGAUAAUAAUAUAAAUAUAACAGAUGCACCGGAAUAUAUAGAAAAAACACUAAUAGGAUCAGUAAAACUAUGGUUUGCAAAUCUAACCGAAAAUAGCAAAAAAGUAUUAAGAACUAAUAAACCUAUAGAAGGAACAUCAUCGACAACAACUAAACUAACACCUAUAGAAUUAUUAAAAAAAUAUGAAACAGCUAUAAAAGAUGAAUUUGGUAGUACGACAACAAUCGAAGAAGAACAAAAUGAAGAAAAAGAUACAAAUAGAAAUUUAAUGUUAAAAUUAGCAAUAUGUAAUAUGUGUUAUAUAGAUGAAUAUACUUGCGCAUUUAAAGAAUAUUAUUACAAAGGAGCAUAUAGUAUAGAAGAAAGUAAAGAAAUAAGAAAAUUAUAUUUUAAUAAAUUACCCGAGCCAUUUAGUUCGAAAAUAAUAAAAAGUUGGGAAGAAGCAAAAAUAGUAGAUACGUUAGGAGCAAGAAUAAAAUAUUUACAACAAUGGUAUAGAAACUUAUGUGAAAAAUAUAGAGAAGAAUUAAAAAUGGAAAAAACAUUAAUAAGAAAUUUAGCUUGUUGCAAAAAUAAAAUAGCACCCCAAUUUGGAUGCGAAGAAAGAUAUUAUAAGAAAAGAAAAAGACAUAAGAAAUAUAAGAAAUAUAAAAAAUCAAAAUAUAAAUAUAAAAAACCAAGAAAAAGAUACUAUGUAAAAAAUUAUAAACAUAAAAGACCAUAUAGAAAAAAGAAAUCUAUAAAAGAAUGUACUUGUUAUAAUUGUGGAAAGUUAGGACAUUUAGCUAGAGAUUGUAAAUUACCUAAAAAUCCAAAAAAUAAACAAAUAUCAGAAAUAAAAAUAGAAAAUACCGAAUACAUGCAGAUAGAUUAUAUAGAUUAUGAAUUAGAAAGUGAAGAUAGUAUAUAUGAAAUUUCAGAAAAUGAAACAGAUAAUGAACUAGAUAGCGAAAUAGAUGAAUCAAAUGACUGAAGAAGAUAUAAAAAUAAUAACAAAGGAAGAAUAUUUAAAUGAUGAAGGAACGGAACAAAAAAUAAUAUUUGACAGUAAUAUAUUUGAUGAAAUAAAAGGAAAAGAAUUAGAUUUAAGUGUAGAAAAAAUAUUUAAAAUACCAACAAUAAAAAAUAUUUUUACUAGGAAAAAAGAUGAAUAUUAUGUAGUAUGUCAAAAAGAACAUGUAAUAGACUGCAGAUAUGCAAAAGGAAAAGCUAGUAUACCACUGGUAACAAAAAGAAUAAUUAAUAAAGAAAUAAAUGAUAUAAAAAGUAAAGGAGAUCCAAUAAAAUAUGUACACCUUGGAGGUACAGAGAUAUUAAUAAAAGCAUGUUUUAGAGAAGGAAUAGAUACACCAAUAGAAUUAUAUUUAGCAGACGAUAGAAUUAUAAAACCUAUAGAAAAAAGCAUAAUAACUGCCGUAAAAGGAAAUCUAAUAUACCAAAAAUUUAAAUUUAUAAUAAGUGCAAAUUAUUCAGUAGCAGUAACAGAUAGGAAUAUAGAUAAAUCAUUAGUAUUAUAUUGGAAAAUAUCAGGAAUAGAAUUAACCCCAGGAAGUAAAAUAUUUACAGCAAGAUGUAAAAAUCUAUAUGUAUUAACAACAAAACAUAAAAUAACAGGAAAAAAUAAGAUUAACAAAAUACAAAUAGAAAGCCCAUUCGAACAAAUAGUAAAAACAAUAGAUUAUAAUGAUUAUACCUAUAGAGACAUAGAUACAGAAGAAAAUUUAGAAAUAGUAAAUGAUAGAAUAAGUACAACGAAAAGAAUAGCUAAUGAAAAGCCAGAAUCAUCAAGCUCAUCAAAAAGAACAAGUUAUGAAACAAAUUCAAUAAGUAAUUUAAACCAAUAUUACAUAACGGGAAAAAUAAAUGAAAAAGAAUAUUUAAUACUUUUGAAUACAGGACAAGAAGAAAAUCAUAUAGCAAAAUAUCUAGUAAAAAAUGAAGAAAUAAAAACCGACAAUAAUAUAUGCCCAGACUUACCAAGAAGUUUAAUAAAUAAUAAAAAUAUAGCAGAAAAAGAAAUAAUGUUAGGAGUUAGAAAAAUAAAAAUAGAAUUCGAAGUAAAGGAAGAAAUGCAAAAAGCAGAUAUAAUAUUAGGAAUAAAAUGGUUAGAACAAGUAAAACCAUAUAAUAUAGAACAUACACAAUUAACCUUAACAUAUAACCAAGAAAAGUUAUUCUUAAAAAGAGCCUUAACAUGAAAUGAAGAUACAUGUAUUAAUGAAGAUAGUAGUAGAAGGAUAUUACAGUAGAUAUUAUACGCCUAUGAUAGAUACAGGAGCAGAAGCUAAUUUAUGUAGAUAUAAUUGCUUACCAGAAAGCAAAUGGGAUAAACUAAAAACACCAAUAAUAGUUAAAGGAUUUAAUAAUGAAGGAAGCUUAAUUACUUAUAAAGCUAGGAAUGUAAAAAUACAAGUAUGGGAUAAGAUAUUAACAAUAGAAGAAAUUUAUAAUUAUGAAUUAACAUCAAAAGAUAUACUUUUAGGAAUGCCAUUUUUAGAUAAAUUAUACCCACAUAUAAUAACCAAAACAGACUGGUGGUUUACAACACCAUGCAAACAAAAAGUAAGAGCAAAAAGAGUUAAUAAUAAAAUAAGAAAGAAAACUGAUUGGAUAAAAGGAAGUGAAAAAAUUACACAAAAGUUAGAAAAUAUAAACAAUACUGAAGAUACAGUAGAACUAGUAGUAUUUUCGAUAAAUAAAACAGAAAUAACUAUAUUUUCAAUAAAUAAAAUAGAAAUAAUUCAGAAAAAAUUAGAACAAUUAUAUAGUGAAGAUCCAUUAAAAGGAUGGGAAAAACAUAAAACUACUAUAAAAAUUGAAUUAAUAGAUAAAAAUAGCAUAAUAACCCAGAAACCAUUAACAUAUAAUUUUGACGAUUUAAAAGAAUUUAAAAUGCAUAUAGAUGAAUUAUUAGAAAAACAAUAUAUACAAAAAAGUAAUAGUAAACAUAAUAGUCCAGCAUUUAUAGUAAAUAAACAUAGUGAACAAAAAAGAGGAAAAAGUAGGAUGGUUAUUGACUAUAGAAAUUUAAAUGCAAAAACUAUAACAUAUAAUUAUCCGAUACCAAAUAAGAUAUUAAAAAUAAGACAAAUCCAAGGAUAUAAUUAUUUUAGCAAAUUUGAUUGUAAAUCAGGAUUUUACCACCUAAAGCUAGAAGAAGAAUCUAAAGAAUUAACCGCAUUUACGGUACCACAAGGAUUUUAUGAAUGGAACGUAUUACCAUUUGGAUAUAAAAAUGCACCAGGUAGAUAUCAACAUUUUAUGGAUAGUUAUUUUAAACAAUUAUCUAAUUGUAUAGUAUACAUAGAUGAUAUAUUAUUAUAUACAAAAACUAAAGAAGAACAUUUAAAAUUAUUAGGACAGUUUACAGAUAUAAUAGAAAAAUCGGGAAUAAGUCUAAGUGAAAAGAAAGCUGAAAUUAUGAAAAAUCAGAUAGAAUUUUUAGGAAUACAAAUAGAUAAAAGUGGAGUAAAAAUGCAACAACAUAUAGUACAAAAAAUAAUAAAUUAGAAAGAAGAAUUAGAUACAAAAAAGAAAUUACAAUCAUUUUUAGGAUUAGUAAACCAAGUAAGAGAAUAUAUUCUAAAAUUAGCAGAAACUUUAAAACCACUACCGAAAAAAUUUAAAAAGGAUGUAGAAUAUAACUAUAAUGAAGAAGAUAAAAAAGAGUAGAAACUUUAAAACUACGACAGAAAAUUUUUUUUUCUUAUAUUCUACAUCUUUUUUAAUUUUUUCUGUAGUGGUCUUCUCAUUUUUACACUUUUGACAUUAAAAAAUAUGCACUUUUGACAUUAAAAAUAUGCAUGUUCAAAAAACAGCUUGUUUUCCUCUUUUAAAAAUCUACAUUUUAACUCUUGAAAAGUGAUAUAUUUGGACCCCAAAUUUGUAACUUUUAGCUACUGUAGAAAGCCGCAUUUCGUGCGUAAAAUCCGCACUUUAAAUCCUAAACGAUCGCAUUUUAAAGCCUAAAAAUUGUAUUCUCUUUUACCCUAAAAAUCUACGCAAUUAUAUUAGAAAACUGCAAUUUUUUCACCAUUAAAGAAAUAUAUUUUAUACCAAAAACUGACAUCUUAGAUUGGAAUAGCUAUUGGAACCAAUCAUAGAUGAUUAAAGCUAAGCAAAAUCAAACAAAUAUAAAGUUAGCUCAACAUUGAUCGAUCCAUACCAAAUAAUCAUUCAGAUAACUACAAAGUUAGUAGAAUAUAUAACAAUAAUAAGAAAUGCAAAUAAGGCAGAGGACUAGAUGCGGUCAAUCCCUUUAAAGAAGGGAUCAAUACCUAACGAUGUACACCCUGAAGGUGGACAAUCCUGUAAUGGUUGACCCAAUGCUUAGGUCAAAACGAGUUUCAAAUGAAACUCCAACUCCCGAGUGCACAUGUAAAAAAGAAGGAUAAGGAUUAGUAACGAUUUAAUAAAGAUAUAUAUAUAUAUACACACACGUGAGGGAGAGCUUGAGUCUUUUGAAUACAAGCACUUCAUGCAGAUAGCAUAUCAAGAUCCAAAUGAAUAUUUAAUCCGUGAUUCCAUGGACCGAGAAUAAAAGCACACAGGAAAAGCAAGACUAGAAUCCGUAAGUCAUCCUUAGAUCACAGAUAUAGAGCUAAUAACAAAACUUGCAGCUAAACAUGAUUUUACAAAUUCCAUGAAAGUAUAUUCAUACACUUCUAUAAUGACAACAAAGUUGUAACUUGAUAACAAAAAAUAUACCAAACAGUAAACAAACCACUAACAUAUACUACAAUUAUAUUUUUUCAAGUCUAGACGGACAAAUAUUCAUAUGUGAGUUCAUAUAAACAUGCUAAACCUGAAAGAAGAAAAUAAUUAUGAGAAGGAAACAUAAAUUGUACUUUAUUCCCUAUAUCCAAAUAUGAUGUGAAACACAUUCAAAACCAACCUUAAUCUGUGGAAAAUGGACAACCGUAUUAAGCAAGACAAGCAACUAUCUACACAUGUUCGAGAAUUAAAUACAAUAAAGUAUAAAACUAUUGUGAUGCAACCAAGAAUUGUAAGGUUUUAAGCCCUUUGGAGCUCUUUUUCACAUGGAAUUAAAAUCGCCAGCAACUUAUGAAUACACAAAGCAAAUUAGUGUAGAGCCAAGCCAUCGUUACCACGUUAAAGCAUCUAAACCGACAUCAAAUGACCCCAAACAACUCACCAAGAAUAUGUCAUGAAACACAAAGCUUCAUCGAGUUUAUUCCAUAGUCAAUUAGACUAUCACCAAAUAUAUCAAAUGGUACGAAAACUACUGCAUCGAGUUCUUAUCCACAACUAGCGAAACAAAAUAUCUAAUGUAAUUUGAAAACUCAAACUUCAAACCAUUAACAUUUACAAAAAUACACCACUUAACAUGAACAAAGCAAACAUACCAACAGUAUUUACUUCACAUUCAUAUCUAGGAUCAACCAACGAACUCAAACUAUCAACAAAUUCCAAAACUAAAUACCAUGUAAUUAGACGGGAUAGAAUUUCAC
This 11492-nucleotide long non-coding RNA is filed under the name Capsicum annuum. RNAcentral describes it as "long non-coding RNA (CANN_LNC011724)". The record is from RNAcentral. Lineage: Eukaryota; Viridiplantae; Streptophyta; Magnoliopsida; Solanales; Solanaceae.